RNAcentral lists this ribosomal RNA (305 nucleotides) under uncultured bacterium. RNAcentral's name for it is "bacterial SSU rRNA". It matches the Rfam family "Bacterial small subunit ribosomal RNA", at positions 336 to 658 of the family's 1533-position model. The record is from RNAcentral.
CUCCUACGGGGGGCAGCAGUGGGGAAUAUUGCACAAUGGGGGAAACCCUGAUGCAGCGACGCCGCGUGAGUGAAGAAGUAUUUCGGUACGUAAAGCUCUAUCAGCAGGGAAGAAAAUGACGGUACCUGACUAAGAAGCCCCGGCUAACUACGUGCCAGCAGCCGCGGUAAUACGUAGGGAGCAAGCGUUAUCCGGAUUUACUGGGUGUAAAGGGCGUGUAGGCGGGCAUGCAAGCCAGAAGUGAAAUCUGGGGGCUUAACCCCCAAACUGCUUUUGGAACUGCGUGUCUUGAGUGAUGGAGAGGC